AACACGCAUACACUGUCUCUCUCUCUCUCUUCCUCAGCCGCACGCCCAAUUCUCUCUUCUUUCUCCCUUCCACUUCUCUUUGCCAUCGCCGGGGACCACUAUUUCCGGCAACCAGUUCAUGACACCACCACCACCAAUCAAUUCAGGACCCAAUUCUGAUCAAAACCCAAGGAGAUCACUGUCAUCCACCACCGCCAACCUUUUCACGGGACCAUCAAAGUCGCAACGGCGCUGCUCCCUAGCUCUCAUUGAGUUCCAGCCGUUUCCUCAACACACCUCCGCCAUCAGCGUGCUCAGAGGAAGUUAGACAUCAAAAUCUAGAAGCCUCGCCGGCGACCCACUCUCAGAGAACCACGCACGCACCAUAACCGGAACUCUAGACUCUGGGUUUCUGCAGUCUUCCUUCUCCAAAUCGAAUCAAGCUCCAAUACCUACAUGAUUUGAAAUUGAAAUUGAAGAGCAAGAAAGAGGUGCUACUCUGAAAUUGAACAGAUGAAGGUUUCUGGUUAGACUAACCUUUGUGUUUUAUGUGAUACAAGGGAUUGCGAUGUUUCGAUGGAGAGAGAAUUAAGAGCGUUUGGUUUCGAUAAUAUCGAAUCUGUGGUCUUGGUGGGUUUCGGGAGAGUGAGGAUUGCAGAUUCUGGAGCACCAUAUCAGGAUUGUUCUCCCUGGUUUGAAGGCUGAGUUGAAUUCUCAGAUGAAUGCUAUUUAUAAAGAACUACAAACAUAUGGAAAAGUUAUGGAAUCCAAAACAGAUCUGGGAGCAACUUUGUUGAACAUUUUGUCAAAAUACUGUGAAGCUUUUACUGCCAUGUUGGAUGGAAAAAAUCCGAAGAUGUCAACUAAAGAAUUGUCAGGAGGAGCCAGGAUCCAGUACAUUUUCCAGUCAAUUUUUGUAAAGAGCUUGCAGACUUAGUUGAGUCUCCACCGCCAAGCCCUGCUGCCAACUUUCAGGAGGCCUCUUUCAAUUACUGAACUACUUCAUUUAUCUGAGGAGUGGCCUCUUUCAUUCAACCCCCAUGUUGGAUCGUAAAAAACGGAACAACAACUGGGAAUCAUUUACUUCUCUUCCAGUUGAGGAGAUAACCAGAGUAUGAUGCGAAAGGUGCCUUUUUGGCUUUCAAUUUUUACAGUUUAUUGGGAUAUUAUGAUCUCUUUUUCCUGUGCAUAACUAUUGAAAUAUAAAAUUAGUCACUGGGAAAGAUUUUGAUUCAUUGAUUUGCAGAAGUACCACCAUCGAAGAAGAUGAUGAAUUUCUGGAUUUUAGGUGUCAGUAUGAAAAGCAAUGAGAUAAAAAAGUGUUUGCAUUUCAAUUUGUCUUGAACUUUCUAUCUCUCGUAUCAGGUCCUUUAUUUUUUAUUUUUGUUUUGGUGGCAAAUUUCUUUAUGCUUCUUUGCAAAUGCCAGGUUUAUUAAGAAGAUUCUGUAUAACUAAAUGGGAGGAGGAAUUCCCCAUCAGGCAAAUAGCUGUUACAAGGGUCACUUCAUAUCACUAUCCUAUUCCACUGGAUUCAAACCAGCUAUAAGGAUCUUGUCGUAACUUCCAUCAUUCAUACAUACAUAAAGGAGAGGCAUCAAGGCAUAAUCACUUUUGGAGUAAAAUCAAGAUUGAGACAAGGGGGAGUGACAACGAAAGUAUGGGCUGUUGUUGAUGCAGCUUCUGCUGGCAUCCUUGUUGUCCUCACAGGGUGUUCUUCAAGACUUGGUUGGUUUCAACAUUUUACUAAAUUUUGUUUAGAAAACUAGUUCUGUUAAUGGAAUGACUUUGUUGGAUAUAUGGAUGAAUGUACCAGAUCUUUACAUAAAUGAAUGUGUUUUGGAUGUGA
Molecule: long non-coding RNA, 1825 nt
Organism: Rosa rugosa (rugosa rose)
Lineage: Eukaryota; Viridiplantae; Streptophyta; Magnoliopsida; Rosales; Rosaceae
Exons: 7
Source: RefSeq, a predicted model, not a curated record